This 403-nucleotide ribosomal RNA is filed under the name uncultured bacterium. Its description in RNAcentral is "partial 16S ribosomal RNA". It matches the Rfam family "Bacterial small subunit ribosomal RNA", at positions 30 to 526 of the family's 1533-position model. The record is from RNAcentral.
AUUGAACGCUGGCGGCAGGCCUAACACAUGCAAGUCGAGCGAGCGGCGGACGGGUGAGUAAUGUAUGGGGACUGCCCGAUAGAGGGGGAUAACUACUGGAAACGGUGGCUAAUACCGCAUACUAUCGGAUAACCCAUAUGGGAUUAGCUAGUAGGUGGGGUAAAGGCUCACCUAGGCGACGAUCUCUAGCUGGUCGGAGAGGAUGAUCAGACAAACUGGGACUGAGACACGGCCCAGACUGUUACGGAGGCAGCCGAGGGGAUUAUUGCACAGUGGGCUCAAGCCUGAUGAAGCCAUGUCGAGUGUAUGAAGAAGGCCUUAGGGUUGUAAAGUACUUUCAGCGGGGAGGCGUUACCCGCAGAAGGAGCACCGGAUAACUCCGGGCCAACAGCCGCGGUAAUUC